Molecule: ribosomal RNA, 330 nt
Filed under: uncultured bacterium
Lineage: Bacteria
Description: bacterial SSU rRNA
Rfam family: Bacterial small subunit ribosomal RNA
Source: RNAcentral
UUCGUAGGCGGUGCGGCAAGUCGGGAGUGAAAUCUCUGGGCUUAACUCAGAGGCUGCUUCCGAAACUGCUGUGCUCGAGUGUGGGAGAGGCGCGUGGAAUUGCAGGUGUAGCGGUGAAAUGCGUAGAUAUCUGCAGGAACACCCGUGGCGAAAGCGGCGCGCUGGACCACAACUGACGCUGAGGAACGAAAGCUAGGGGAGCAAACAGGAUUAGAUACCCUGGUAGUCCUAGCCCUAAACGAUCAGGACUUGGGGUGCCGCCCGUUCGGGCGUCGUCCCGGAGCUAACGCGUUAAGUCCUGCACCUGGGGAGUACGGUCGCAAGACUGAA